GACGAACCGUGCAACCGUUAUUCGGAAUCACUGGGCUUAAAGCGCGUGUAGGCGGAUGGGCACGUCGGAACCUGAAAGCCCCCGGCUCAACCGGGGAGAGUGGUGCCGAACUGGACUUCUUGAGGGCGAUAGAGGAGAGUGGAAUUCCGGGUGUAGCGGUGAAAUGCGUAGAGAUCCGGAGGAACACCAGUGGCGCAGGCGGCUCUCUGGGUCGGCCCUGACGCUGAGGCGCGAAAGCGUGGGGAGCGAACGGG
RNAcentral lists this ribosomal RNA (254 nucleotides) under uncultured bacterium. RNAcentral describes it as "partial 16S ribosomal RNA". It matches the Rfam family "Bacterial small subunit ribosomal RNA", at positions 524 to 776 of the family's 1533-position model. The record is from RNAcentral.